Hypanus sabinus (Atlantic stingray) is the source of this 3041-nucleotide long non-coding RNA. RefSeq lists it as uncharacterized. Lineage: Eukaryota; Metazoa; Chordata; Chondrichthyes; Myliobatiformes; Dasyatidae. The transcript has 2 exons. The record is from RefSeq and is a predicted model, not a curated record.
CUCUCACUCACUCUCACUCACACUCUCGCUCUCACUCACUCACACUCUCUCGCUCGCACUCACACUCUCGCUCUCACACACUCACUCUCUCUCGCUCGCACUCACACACUCACACUCUCUCGCUCGCUCUCACACACUCUCGCUCGCUCACACUCACACUCUCGCUUGCUCUCACUCACUCACACACUUGCUCGCUCACACUCACACUCCCUUUUGCACUCACACUCUCUUGCACUCACAUGCUCGCUCGCACUCUCUCUCACACAUUGCUGGAGAGACUCAGCUUCUCUGGCGGGGAAUAAACAGUUGACGUUACAGGCCUAGACCCUUCAGGAAUGGGGCAGAAGCUGGGGGGAGGUCAAGGAGUACAAACUGUCAGGUGACAGGUGAGACCAAGUGAGGGGGGAAGAUGGGUGGUUGGGAGAAGGGGGAGAUGAAGAGCUCUGCCCCACCAUUCAGAGUAAUCAUGGCUUAUCUGCACUGGCCUCAGCUCCUUGCGGACUACUCCUCUCUGAUGGUGUUGGUCGUUGGUGCAAAAGACACAUUUGUGAACAUUGUAAACUUGGCCAGCUCCAUCAUGAGCACUAACCUCCCCAGCAUUGGGGCAUCUUCAGUAACCAGCAUCCAUCAUUCAGGAUCCCCAUCACCCAGGACCAGUCCUGACAAAGGGUCUCGGCCCGAAACGUCGACAGCGCUUCUCCCUAUAGAUGCUGCUUGACCUGCUGUGUUCCACCAGCAUGUUGCGUGUGUUGCUUGAAUUUCCAGCAUCUGCAGUCUUCCUCGUGUUUGUCUUUUAAAGUAACACAUGUUCUUGGUUUUCAGUUACGUUGGCCAAAAUGGAUGCAGGGACCGUGACAAAGUGCAACUUUGCAGGGGAUAAAAAGGCAGGAAGUUCUUGGACAGACAAUAUAUUUGCUACAAAGUCGAAAAAUGAGGAAGAGGCUAAAGAAAGUGGCCAAGGGGAGGGGGCUGACGAGGAUGAGUGGGAUGAUUGAAGACCCAGGCAGUCAGUGAAACCCUAACAGCAAAGUAUAUCUCACUCAUCUUCAUCUUUAAAUCUGUUUAUGAACAUUUACUCUGACUGUAUAAUCUUUUAAUGUUAAAAUUGUGGUAAGUUUUCCUGAGAAUCUUGGUGCUCAGAAGUUCUCUUUGGCUUUGAACGAAAUCUUGUGUGGGAGCCCCGGCCCUGUGGCGCGUCUUCUAAUUCAACUGUCAAUCCUGUCUAGAUGGUACAAACAAACGAUUCCUUGGGCAACAUCUUCCAGAUAACAAAUUUCUCGAAUUAUUUCAUUUUUUUCUACACCGUCUGCUUGCUCUUUGUCUUGUUUGUGUUACGGAAACUGCUGGAGCCUGUGAUGGAACUCAAAGGAUUUAGCGCCAUGCUGCGUCCGGAGAGCUGCCUCCAGGAGAUUAGAGACCGGAGGCCAAGAAGGACCGAGAGCACAAACUGAGUCGCAGAAAAGACCAGAGACAGGGCACAGGGUCAUGAACAACUCCAUCUCGAAGCGGCAAGACUAAAGCAUCGAGAUGAAUGUGGUGGGGGUCACCAGUGGCUCCCAACAGAGAUGGUCAGCAGCUGGAUCAGCAACGCUCAGACCCGGAUCAGUGGUCACUCUUUACAGAAGGACUGAGUUUGUCGACUGCUCUCCUCAUAUGCAGAUGAAAAGAUAUUUCUGAUAUUCUGAGAUUUAUGUAAUAAUUGGAUUGUACUUUAUAUUGGUUUCCUUUUGUUUCUCAGUGUUUUCUUUCUUGUGGCCAAUUAGCAAGUGGGUGAGCUGUUAAUUUUUGUGUGUAAGGAGGGGUUGGGGGUUUGGUGCUACCGUUACUGUUCUUUGUGAGUGAGGGUGUCCGGGGUCGGUGAUUUGUGUCUGUUUUUCCCUUCAGGGGAGGGGGUCUGCAAGUUUGUUUCUUUUUUUUUUGCACUGGGGGUGGAUUUACGGAACUGAAAGUAGGUUGUCUCAGUGCAAUAAGGAAAUGAAAGAUUCAAAAAGGAGUAAACAUUACCUUUAUUUGUCACAAGAAAUGUAUGAUUUGUGCCUAUGGCCAGCCCAGUCUGUUGUGCUGGGGGGGGGGGGGGUGCAGUUCACAGUGUCACCACGGCAUACCCCACUUACUAACAUAGAGCAUAAUACUAUUACAGCUCAGGGCAUUGGACUCUGGAAUUCAGUCCUCUGUAAGACAGUGUGAAUGUUCUUCCCUCGUGCCUGUCAAUUUUCCCUGCAUGCUCCGCUUUCACCCACAGUCCAAAGAUGUACUAGUUAGUAAGUUAAAUUGUUAUUGUAAACUUUUCUGUGAUUAAGCUAGGUCAAAUCGGUGGCUGCCCUUGUGAGCCAGAAGGGCCUAUUCUGUGCUGUAUCUCUAAAUAUCCUGACCGGCUCUUCUCUGGAAUGUGGCAGGAACCCACACAGUCAUGAGGAGAAUGAGCAAACUCCUUCCAGGCAGCAGAGGCAAUGAAGUGUUGCGCUAUGUGCUGCCCUCUCAAUUCUCACUAAGUACAUAAAGUUGCAGGUUCAAUGAGAGGAACAGUCCGUUUUCAGGAGACAGGUUGGAAGCCUUCACCUUUACAGGCUGGAAUUUGUACUGGAGUUCUGCCUGUAGUCUGCUGAUUUAGUUACAGUGACCAGGCCACUGGAGAUGGUAGUGAGGAGAAGCCCAUCAUCUGUAGCACUCGAAGGUGGGUGGGGAAGAUCCUCUGGAGGCUCCAGAAGUGUGGAGAUCGAAACUAUUGCAGGAAAUACUGAACAAGGGUGAGCUAUACCAACCAGACUUUCUGCGGUCGACAAGGUCAGAAAGCUGAGGAGGGAGCGAUGUGAAAGCAAGUUAGAGCCACUGGUGAGGAGCCAGUAGAACUCUUGAACUCUCUUUGUGGUCAAGAGCUGGAAAUGUUAAUAAUUCACAUGAAAGUUGCAGUGGGACCUGCUUUUUAACAGAUUUUUAUAUUCUUUCAUUAAUAAAACUUGCUGGUGAAGAACACCUCACACUCUUUAUAUAAAUUGCUUAACAAAAUUUCACUUUCCUAAAUGAAUAAAGGUUAACUAAUA